RNAcentral lists this ribosomal RNA (433 nucleotides) under uncultured bacterium. Its description in RNAcentral is "partial 16S ribosomal RNA". It matches the Rfam family "Bacterial small subunit ribosomal RNA", at positions 29 to 507 of the family's 1533-position model. The record is from RNAcentral.
AACGAACGCUGGCGGCAUGCCUAACACAUGCAAGUCGAACGAAGCCUUCGGGCUUAGUGGCGCACGGGUGCGUAACGCGUGGGAAUCUGCCCCUUGCUUCGGAAUAACAGUUAGAAAUGACUGCUAAUACCGGAUGAAGUCUUCGGACCAAAGAUUUAUCGGCAAGGGAUGAGCCCGCGUAGGAUUAGGUAGUUGGUGGGGUAAAGGCCUACCAAGCCGACGAUCCUUAGCUGGUCUGAGAGGAGGAUCAGCCACACUGGGACUGAGACACGGCCCAGACUCCUACGGGAGGCAGCAGUGGGGAAUAUUGGACGAUGGACGCAAGUCUGAUCCAGCAAUGCCGCGUGAGAGAUGAAGGGCUUAGGGUUGUAAAGCUCUUUUACCAGAGAUGAUAAUGACAGUACCUGGAGAAGAAGCACCGGCUAACUCCGUG